GAGAAGAACGUAGCGAAAUGCGAUAAGUAGUGUGAAUUGCAGAAUUCAGUGAAUCAUCGAAUCUUUGAACGCACAUUGCGCCCUUUGGUAUUCCUUAGGGCAUGCCUGUUCGAGCGUCAUUUAAACCUUCAAGCUAAGCUUGGUGUUGGGUGACUGUCCGCUUCACGGCGGACUCGCCUCAAAAUUAUUGGCGGCCGGUACAUUGGCUUCGAGCGCAGCAGAAACGCGAACUCGGGCCCGUCGUAUUGGCUCCCAGAAGCUAUCUUCACAAUUUUGACCUCGGAUCAGGUAGGGAUACCCGCUGAACUUAAGCAUAUCAAUAAGCGGAGGA
This 331-nucleotide unclassified non-coding RNA is filed under the name soil metagenome. RNAcentral's name for it is "partial contains 5.8S ribosomal RNA, internal transcribed spacer 2, and large subunit ribosomal RNA". The stretch from base 3 to 119 matches the Rfam family "5.8S ribosomal RNA", at positions 38 to 154 of the family's 154-position model. The record is from RNAcentral.